GCAGAUAGUGCUUGGGAUGAUUAAAUGGAAGUUUCCUUCAGUACCUCUUACAUAGCUUUGAUGAUACAAGCUUAUGUUUUCAAGAUUUUUAAGGUGUACAGUUUCUGAGUUUGGGCUUAAAGAUAAAGAUGUGCUGAAGAUUAUAAAUUUCUGGUGAGUUGUUCAUCUUCCAAUGUCACUGCUCCAUUACAUGUUCAGUUACCAGUUAU
Molecule: unclassified non-coding RNA, 209 nt
Filed under: Hevea brasiliensis (rubber tree)
Lineage: Eukaryota; Viridiplantae; Streptophyta; Magnoliopsida; Malpighiales; Euphorbiaceae
Source: RNAcentral